This 74-nucleotide transfer RNA is filed under the name Candidatus Omnitrophota bacterium. Its description in RNAcentral is "Candidatus Omnitrophica bacterium tRNA-Gly". It matches the Rfam family "tRNA". From Rfam's summary of the family: Transfer RNA (tRNA) molecules are approximately 80 nucleotides in length. Their secondary structure includes four short double-helical elements and three loops (D, anti-codon, and T loops). The record is from RNAcentral. RNAcentral also lists the same sequence under 1 other name. Lineage: Bacteria; Pseudomonadati; Candidatus Omnitrophota.
GCGGGAGUAGUUCAAUGGUAGAAUAACGGCCUUCCAAGCCGUCUAUGAGGGUUCGAUCCCCUUCUCCCGCUCCA